This 251-nucleotide ribosomal RNA is filed under the name uncultured prokaryote. RNAcentral describes it as "partial 16S rRNA". It matches the Rfam family "Bacterial small subunit ribosomal RNA", at positions 525 to 775 of the family's 1533-position model. The record is from RNAcentral.
ACGGGGGGUGCAAGCGUUGUUCGGAAUUAUUGGGCGUAAAGAGCGCGUAGGCGGCUGAAUAAGUCAGAUGUGAAAUCCUUGGGCUUAACCCAGGAAGUGCAUCUGAAACUAUUCAGCUAGAGUAGGGAAGAGGAAAGUGGAAUUCCUGGUGUAGAGGUGAAAUUCGUAGAUAUCAGGAGGAACACCGGUGGCGAAGGCGGCUUUCUGGCCCGAUACUGACGCUGAGGCGCGAGAGCGUGGGGAGCAAACAG